Molecule: small RNA, 346 nt
Filed under: Arabidopsis thaliana (thale cress)
Lineage: Eukaryota; Viridiplantae; Streptophyta; Magnoliopsida; Brassicales; Brassicaceae
Description: ATSL088440
Source: RNAcentral
UUAAUCAAAAACAAAAUCUUUUAAUGACGUCAUUAAGGUUACCAAAAUCAUUUAACGACAAUAUUCAUUUCUUAAUUAUAUGGCUUAUCAGAUCUAAAGACGGGUCAUCAAAGAUUUCCUAAACUGAAGCAAAAUAUACCGAAUAUUCAAAUAUCUAUCUGUUACCAAAUUAGAAACAAAUAAGUUAAUAAGUCAAUAACUAUUUGGAGGGACGGGUUUUUGAAUCAACAUUAAUAAAAAAGUAAAAUAUAAUUAAUCCACCGUUUCAAUACGGGUAAAAUCUUUAAUUUAUUAUUUUGUAAGACCACUAAUAUUAAACAUAUCAAAUCAAUCUAAUUUAUAAAAG